RNAcentral lists this long non-coding RNA (7842 nucleotides) under Chlamydomonas reinhardtii. RNAcentral describes it as "long non-coding RNA (CREI_LNC000925)". Lineage: Eukaryota; Viridiplantae; Chlorophyta; Chlorophyceae; Chlamydomonadales; Chlamydomonadaceae. The record is from RNAcentral.
UCACCACCAGCCGCACCUCCCCCUGCAUGUAGCUGCUGACGUCGUCGUUCUCAUCGCCGCCACUCGAGGACUCGGCCUGGACCUCGCCGCAGCAGGUGGCCGCGGGCGCGUCCUCGCUCGCCGGGCAGGAGGCGGAGGGAGCAGGGGCAACGACGGGGCCGGCGGGCACGAGGGCCUUGGAGGUGGAGGCGGAGGUGGGGUUGGAGGGGGAGGCGGAGGGGACGGCGCUGCCAUCGGUCGUGCAGUCGUCGCCCGAGCUUGACACGGGCGGCGUGGGAGACUCCUUCAUGGCCUCGAGGACGGGGGCGGGGCUAGCUGCAGCCAACGUGGCGCGCGGGUCCCAAAGUGGACGCCGAACGACCUGAGCGAGAGGGGGAAAGGGCGCGCGGGUGGGGGAGCGGAAAGGAUGAGUGCGCGCGCUUGUUGAGCAGGAGCCUCAAGAAUGCCGAUACGUGGUUGUAUGAAAGAGCCCCAGGCGAGAGGUCUAAGAGCCCGCGCGAGCAACAAUCAAGCUGAACAAACCAAAGACUGUCGUAAAGCCUACUGCGCAUGCCACUAGUGGAAGUUUGGCUUUGACAACCGCCGGGCCAGCGUUCCGGCCAGGCGGUGCACAAAGGAAACGCCAGUAGCGCUGAAUUGGUGGUUGUGCCCGCCAACGUGUACCCGUCGCUUUUGCAGAAUGCUCACCUUCUGUCCAUUGCAAGGGAAGCAUGGCGAGCGGAUGUCGCUAGCAGUAGCCUUGCACAGGCGAGGCACGCCGAGGGCCUCAGGCAGAGCAUUGAGCAUGCAGCUCAAGUCCUCCCUCAAGUCUCCGCCCGUCAGCGCCUUGAAGACGCAUCCAGCCAGAAACGAGAGCAUGGAAGCACACGUUUGAGCAAAGGAAAGAAGGAGCGACAAGCAACAGAAGUGCGCCGAGCAAUCGGUGCAGUCUUUUCGCUCGCUAUGUGCGUUUAGAUGUCACGAGCUAGCAGUGCAUGCUUUGAGAAGCUGAGAUAGCGUAGAAGUAAGGAAAUGCCGCAUGAUUGAUUGAUGUUACAAGUUCAUGCUCGUAGAUUGGUCCAAACGAGCCAGGAAGCUCAUGGACCGCCAAAACUAGUCUCAAAAGGAUUAUUCAAAAAGCAAAACAGUUCAUGCAAUAAUAUAUCUAAAUUGGUCGCGCCGUAAGGUCGUUACGUCGCAGCCUUAUCGCGUGAAUGACACGCGCUAAACCCCUCUGGUCACCACUGGCCAUCGCGUCCAUCAUAGUCGCGGGAAUCACCUCCCACAGCGUGCUUCUGAUAUCAUCGUACGCCUUGCACUCAAGCAGCACAUGCCUCUCAUCCUCUACAUGCUCCUCCCCAUCAGCGUGGCAAAGCGGACAUACUCUCUGUGCUCUCUCCCUGUGCGCACCCUGCGCACCGCGUGGGUUGUUAGCCUCAAUCAUCCACACGCCCAUCCUGAAUCUCAUCAUGGAGACAUGCCAUGCUCGAGGAAUGUAGAUUUGCGUGUGCCGUGUUUCCCCCAUCCAAUGCUUGUAACGACAUAUCUUCACGCCAGGCUUGACCCCUGCUUGCGUCACAAAAUCCCGUGGAUUAACCUCUAACCUGUUGCUAGCCCAGUCCUCCUCAAACUUCUCGCGUACCUUCCCCAUGAGGGAGGCAACAUCCAGUUCUUGCGUAGUAAUGCGUGUAAUAUUGGCCUCGAUAUCAGCUGCCUCUCCACUGAAACGGUAGCCAAGGCCAACCAUCAAUAACCGCAGAACUUUAGCCCCCCACGUGUGCGUGGGCGGCGUCGGUAGGUUGCUCAACACCGCUCGUAUCUCCUCCUUAAACGCCUGAUGGUAAACAGUGCCGGUUGCCUUAACCAGUUGGUUCCAAAAACGGAAAACAAGCUCAGCCCAAUGCACGUGUAAUGGCAUGCACCCAAGCUCUCGAAAGAGCAGUUCAUGUGUUGGUUUCUGGGCUCCCACCACUUCCUUCAUGAAAUCCAUCUGAAUGCGAACCAUGCCAUGCUCUAGUGCUCGAUCAAACGCUCCAUAUCUUUGACCGUCAACUGGGGACGCAUUGAACACUUGGAGAAGCGCGUCUGGUGCCCACACUUGUGCACCGUAAGAUAAUACCGCACGCACCUGAGCGUUAAAGCACCGCAUAGCUACCGCAGGGACCAUAAGCCCCUUCUUGCGUAACUUCCGUCGUAGUGCAUGCAUAGCUCGCUCACCCGAUGCACGUAACUCUUUGCAACAAGAUUCAAACUUAAAACUUGGGCCGUAAUACAGGCCAAGGUACCGCGCUCUACGCUUCCAGGGAAAGAAGCGAAGUGCUUCCAGCCCUUGCUGGUAUUCCCGCAUGUACACCGGCAUGGGGCUUGGCUCCUGCCGUAAAUAACGCCGAAAGGUGGCUGACGAAUGCACACCCAGCACUUCUGACUUUGUAACAUGCCGCAUGUUGACCGCAUUUUGUCCAGCCCCGCGACCUCGCGACCGGAUGGCAGUACGACCGCGCACAGCUGAACCCGCCGUGAACAACAGGUCCCUCGCCACACCGUGCGUGUCCAGUUUGCGAUUGAAUGCAUCAUGUAAUACUCUAGAUGUAUUACUCGCAGCAAACGUUGCAUAAAAGAAAUGCGCGCGUCAGGACGACUGGAGUGAGACGGAAGGUGCACAGCCAUGACUGUUACACCCCGUCAGCUUGUCGCUAACGGCCGCGCCCCGGCAGACGCAGUGUGCUGGCCCGCAGCUAGUAGACGCAUGCUUUGACAGCGGGUGCAUGUCUCAGAGACUCAGAGCCGCACGCGGGGCCUUAGGUGCUGACUCUGCUGAGAGUGGAAGGGAGUGCAUGCGCGCAGCCAGCAGCGGUCGGGUUCGCAGAGGUCCGCUCAGGGUCAACCCUGGGUCCGCUGUGGUUGGAACGUGUAGUUCGACGCCACAUCCGUACAUAACGCUGGACUGGCCACCGACAAAUGCUCUUUCUCCUUUUACCAACGCCACUGCGACAUCUGCACUCUGCAGACGCGGGCACACAUAGCCUGCUGCUUGAAGCCAUACUUCACUGAACACAUCAGGGAAGCAAACAUAACACCUCCCCACCUGCGCAAUCAUGCCCACCCAGUCCCACCCCGCCUCUGUAAACUCAGUAACUUCAGAAUCCCCGAACUCAAACCAAUCCCCCAUACACGUUCCCACAGGCCACUCUUAUACCUUCGGCCGAUCGGAAGCUUAGCAGGUAGCGGCCUCCUUUGAACUGUUCCAACAAGAGUAUUACGGUACUCACGCUAUACCAGUAUGACUUACGGUUCGCCACCAGAGUUCGUACUUGCCGCCAACGCGUGCCAGUUCUUAUCCGAGUCACCUGCCUGUGCCUAGUGCCCCUGCCCACGGCAUUGCAGCAGCGCGACCGUACCAUAGCAGCACGACCAGUGCGCCCGCACCAUGCACUGCUCUGAGGUCGUGGCGUUCAUUCCCCUCGCCUGCCCUUGCGCCCUUCCAUUACGGUACUUCAUGGCAUGCAGCUGCGCCCAUGUCGACAGCCGUACCAACGCCAUACGUCUGUCCCCAUCACCUAUCCGUCACCUGCUCCCCUGCAUCAAGCCUGGCCUGGCUCCCCCUCGCUUCCGUCUCCCAUUCCCUGCACCCUCCACCGGGCCCAACCUCCAUCCCAGCCGCCACAGCCAAUGCCCUCUUCUCGACCCGUUGUAAUCCGCAUCCAUAUGCUGCGUUGGCUGGCGCAGUUCGUUUACUCGGGAGGACUCGGCGGGGCGUCUUCCGCUGCACGCCUGCACCCUUCCCCUUGCACCCUUGCCCCUUGCAUGGCUCUUGUACAUCAUGUUUGCAUCCGAGUCGCUGGCGGCGACGCCACAAACCCCACACAUCUGCCCCCACCGAUGACUGCCUAGCACCUCAUCCGGCCGCUAUAGCCACCCACCUCGCUUCCAUGUCCUGCACCCGCGCUCCCUCCACGGCUCCACCCACCACCGAGCCCCACCUCCAAGGCUCCAGCUCAUGCCCACUCAAGGCCACACGCACGCAUGCAGGUAAGAAGCAUGCUGAGUUGCUCAAGCCCGCGAGGCCCGGCCCACGUACACCGUGCAUGCAUGCUCUGCAGUAUAUGCACCAGUAGGCAGGCCCCGAGGACAAAGAGACGUGUCACUGGAUGCUGCCCAUAGUUGUUACAAGUGCAUGCACGCACGCCGAUGCAUGAAGCUAUGGCCCCACCGGCCUUGAUUAGGAAAGAAGUCAUCUUUUGGUGUCAAUCCGUGCGUAUGCUUCACUGGGCUCCAGCCCUGCCCCGUCUCAUCCUCUCAUCCAGUGUCCUUACCCAGGGGUGAUGACCUGCAAUGCACAGGCCGUGCCCCUUCAUCCAGUGUGCCAGUCCUGUGCCCAUCCCUACUCGUCCUAGUCACGAGGCCUAACUAGCCGUGCACACGCUCCAGCCCCCGCCGCACCGUCAGCCGCUGCAGCUAUGAAGCCGUUCGCUACCCGCCGUCACACCCACGGUCACACCGCCUAGCAGCUAGUCCUCAUUACCGUACACCUGGCCAAGCUGCAUGAAUCAAUGCAGCCAGCGCUUUGCACAAGACAAUAUCGGCUGACACAAGCAGGUCAAAGCAAUCUAAUAGUGAAACGGUAGCCAACGAGCCAAAGACGCUUGGUUCAGCGACGCCGCGUCAGGCAUUUGCCCGCCUAGUCAGUUGUGUGUUGUGUUCACCUGCGUGCCGGUCUGUCAACCGCCCACCGCCCGUAUUCAACACUAGCAGACUAAAGCCUAAAGCCGAAGCGUCUAAAAGAUACAGAUCAAUCCAUGUACAGGGUCCUAAAUGUCCAAAAACACCCGAAAGAGAAGCCAAUGCACGAGUUGUGUGAAAGAGCAAUGCUAGGCAGACAGCGUUCGACCCAAACCACGUCUAGUGAUGACACGCACGCUCACGGGCACGCAGAGUGCCUCCCCUCGCAGUAGCAGUAUGAAUAUCUGCAGCGCAUGUAUAAUGAAUUAGUUUGUACGCCCUAUGAAAGAACUUCCACGCCCUAGGCCGCUUGCUCCAUCCUAAGCGGUAGGUAGUGUUCCAGUCCUGCCGCUGACGCGCACUCGGAGCUAGCUGCGGCACUCCUGGGGCUGUCUCGGCGCGCAAGCACACAAGCAAACGCACACACUGAUGCCGGCCGCACGCCGGCCUGGCGCGGCACGAUAGCUAGUAAGCGAGCUAGCGAGCAAGCCCUACUCUCCUUGGCAGCAUACGCUGCAGCCCUGCCAAUGAAACCAUCUCAGGUUUGCCCUCUCUCGAACCUCUCAACAGCCCUGCCCGACAGCCUAUGGGCGCCCUUGGCGCGAAAACGCAAGCCACCAAUACCAAGCCCGCUAGCAGCACGUAGCAUGUAGCGUCAUCAGUAGCCGCACACAACGACCUCCUCCCAGAUCGCGGCCAGCCGCUGGACCACCUGCUCCGCAGUGGGCCGCUCCUGCGGAUCCCACGCCACGCAGUCGAGCAGCAGCAGCUCCAGUGACAGGGGCAGGUAGGAAGGGAAGAUGCCGGCCGGGAAGGCACGGGCAGCAGCCGGCGCGUCGCCGGCCGGCCACCAGCUCUGCUGCGCAAACCAGUCGGCCGCGGCGCUGUUGCUGCCGGUCACAGCCACGCACAGGGCCGUGAUGCCGAACGAGUACACGUCCACAGCGGCCGUCAAUGGCACGUUGCUCUGCACCUCGGGUGCCAUGUAGUGGCGGGUGCCGCAGGCCAUCUCGAAGAAGAAGGUGCCAGUGGGGUCGGCGGGGCUCAGCUGCUCAGCCAGACCAAAGUCAGCCAGGCAGUAGGUGUCGUCAGCGCGGUGGAGCAUGUUGGCAGGCUUGACGUCUGUAGGGGAUGAGAGGGCAAGGGCCAGCGAGUCAAGCGAAGCGCGUAAGAGGUCAUGGUGGUUGGAUGGGGGCGCAAGUAAAGGAGCAGAGAGUGCGCGGCGUGGCGCUAAGUGCAUGCAUGCGUCUUCCAUCUCACCAAUCCCCGCCGUCGUAUCCUGGGACACGCACCACACCCUCAUCAGCGGCAGCAGCCCCGCCCCUCCGCAUCUGGCUGGCUGGCCCGCUCACCGUUGUGCACGAGUCCCACGCGGUGCAUGGCCUUGAUCGCGGCCGCCAGAGACACCAGGAUGGCCAGCACCUGCUUCAGCGGCAGCAGCGCCACGUCCUCCCACACGUCGCGGCAGCGGGGAGCACUGGCAGUGCCAGGCACUGGGAAGCCCGGCGGAGCACGGGCCACACGCACAGACGGCAGAAGCGGGUCUUCAGCAGCAGAAGUAGCAGCCGAGGCCGGCGCCGACGCAGGCACGGGCGGCGAGGCCAGUAGUGGUGCGAAGCCAGGCGGUGGCAGCGGGGGGCGAGGGGCCGCCGGCAGUGCGUGAAAGCCCGGCGGCGGCGGGCACGGGCGAGGGCUGGCCGCCAGCAGGGGCUCAAAGCCGGGCGGCGGCGGCGGCGGCCGAGGGGCCGGCAGGACGCCAGAGCCCGGCGGCGCCGCCGGCCGCGCCCUGGUGACGUUGUCAGGCAUGCUGGCGACGUCGGUGUUGGCGGCGGCGGCUGCAUCUGCCUGCUGCUGUGUGGCCUCCAUCUGAGCCCAGAUCUCGUCGCGCUUUUCAGUGGCAUCCUCCUGUGCAAUGCAGAGCAUACCGUAUAGGAGUGAGGGGCCAGGUUUUGGGCAUGACAGCUUAGGCUUGUGUGUAGCCAACGCUCAAGCAAGCGUGCACGCUACGCACGCACACACACACAGGCCCGCCCACACAGGCCCCUCUGGGCGGGCUUUCGUUUCGCUUUUUAACACACAGGCCCGCACACGCGCACGGCUCACCAGUACGGAAGCCACGCAGCCCUUUGCCAGCUCCAUCACCAUCAUGGGCAGCUGCCCGGGCCGGCCGCCGUGGCACAGCAGCCGCACAAACGGGCUCCGCUCAGCCGCCGCCAGCAGCGGCAACGGCUGUUCAGGCGAGGAGGAAGAAGAGGAGGAGGAAGAGGCGGUGGCGCAGGCCUGCUGCAGCUGCAUCGCCGCGCCGACCUCCCUGUUCAGCUGCUCCUUGGCCUUGGUGAGUCCGCCCAGGAACAGCUUGGCGGCGACGGGCCGUGUGGUGCCGUCGGGCCGCUGCAACAGCCCCACGUGCACGAGGCCGUAGCCGCCGCGGCCGAUCUUGCCCUCGGACCGCCAGCACUGGAGGCCGUGACGCUCCUCGAACGCGUCCAGCUGAGGGAUAAGGGGAACAGGAGGAAGCAAGGAAGGGGGUUAUUAUAUUCGAGAUUAUUAAGAAGGAGGGAUUGGCGCCGGGCGUUACGAGGGCGGCGUGGGAAGCAAUGCAAGUGGACAGCGAGGAGACAGCUAGCCGGCAGGCGACACGCGCGCACACAGUGUCAUGGCUUCCAUGGAUGCACCCAACCAAACACCCCAGUUCAGGCGCAGGACGCACGGCAAACUACCGUGUGCGUACGUGUGCUCCAUGCUGCCCUCUGCUGCCACCCACUACACCCACCCACCAGCACGAGACACCCGCUCACCAGCAGCUUGCGGAAAUCCUCCACGACGCUCUUGGAGAAGCGGCGAAAGGAGCCGUCCUCGAACGUCACCACCAGCCGCACCUCCCCCUGCAUGUAGCUGCUGACGUCGUCGUUCUCAUCGCCGCCACUCGAGGACUCGGCCUGGACCUCGCCGCAGCAGGUGGCCGCGGGCGCGUCCUCGCUCGCCGGGCAGGAGGCGGAGGGAGCAGGGGCAACGACGGGGCCGGCGGGCACGAGGGCCUUGGAGGUGGAGGCGGAGGUGGGGUUGGAGGGGGAGGCGGAGGGGACGGCGCUGCCAUCGGUCGUGCAGUCGUCGCCCGAGCUUGACACGGGCGGCGUGGGAGAC